AGUGAACGCUGGCGGUAGGCCUAACACAUGCAAGUCGAACGGCAGCACAGUAAGAGCUUGCUCUUACGGGUGGCGAGUGGCGGACGGGUGAGGAAUACAUCGGAAUCUACUUUUUCGUGGGGGAUAACGUAGGGAAACUUACGCUAAUACCGCAUACGACCUACGGGUGAAAGCAUGGGAUCUUCGGACCUUGCGCGAUUGAAUGAGCCGAUGUCGGAUUAGCUAGUUGGCGGGGUAAAGGCCCACCAAGGCGACGAUCCGUAGCUGGUCUGAGAGGAUGAUCAGCCACACUGGAACUGAGACACGGUCCAGACUACUACGGGAGGCAGCAGUGGGGAAUAUUGGACAAUGGGCGCAAGCCUGAUCCAGCCAUACCGCGUGGGUGAAGAAGGCCUUCGGGUUGUAAAGCCCUUUUGUUGGGAAAGAAAAGCAGCAGGUUAAUACCCCGCUGUUCUGACGGUACCCAAAGAAUAAGCACCGGCUAACUUCGUG
RNAcentral lists this ribosomal RNA (492 nucleotides) under uncultured bacterium. RNAcentral's name for it is "partial 16S ribosomal RNA". It matches the Rfam family "Bacterial small subunit ribosomal RNA", at positions 29 to 507 of the family's 1533-position model. The record is from RNAcentral.